AAAGCCUGAUCCAGCCAUGCCGCGUGCAGGAUGAAGGCCUUACGGGUUGUAAACUGCUUUUGUACGGAACGAAAGACUACUGGUUAAUACCUGGGUCCAUGACGGUACCGUAAGAAUAAGCACCGGCUAACUACGUGCCAGCAGCCGCGGUAAUACGUAGGGUGCAAGCGUUAAUCGGAAUUACUGGCGUAAAGCGUGCGCAGGCGGUUAUAUAAGACAGAUGUGAAAUCCCCGGGCUCAACCUGGGAACUGCAUUUGUGACUGUAUAGCUAGAGUACGGCAGAGGGGAUGGAAUUCCGCGUGUAGCAGUGAAAUGCGUAGAUAUGCGGAGGAACACCGAUGGCGAAGGCAAUCCCCCUGGGCCUGUACUGACGCUCAUGCACGAAAGCGUGGGGAGCAAACAGGAUUAGAUACCCUGGUAG
Molecule: ribosomal RNA, 422 nt
Filed under: uncultured bacterium
Lineage: Bacteria
Description: bacterial SSU rRNA
Rfam family: Bacterial small subunit ribosomal RNA
Source: RNAcentral